GUAUUCUUGGUAUAAACUAGGGUGUCUGUAGUUAAGAUGGUAGCUCAGGUAGAGCAGAUCAUCUACUGGUUCAUUUCCUGGCUGCUCCAGUCUGUGUGCCAAAUAGUCUUGGGCAAUAGUUCUAGUUCCACCCUAGGCUGUAAAAUCUGAAACAUUGUAACAGUUUGAUUUUUUUCUUUUAAAUAUUUUUCCUGUUUCCAAGUGAAAAAGAACAAUGAUCAGUACAACAGCAUGUGAUCGUCAUUAACGCAGGAAUAGGCAGCCUAAAAACAGACAAUAAACCCCACAGUUUGAACAAUUUAACAAAAGAAAAUCUUCAAAGUGACAUUUCAUUUUUAUUGGUCAGCCAUUUAUGAUUUUAAAAAGAUUCCGCUCAUUUCUGUUUGGAGGAAAAUCUGAUUAUUUGGACUGGAUUUAUUGGAAGUUUUUGUAAUGCCAGAGAACCGCUUGAUCUGGCAACAGUGAUAAAGUCUUUUAGUAACAGCUACUCGUUUCAGCUGACAUAAUUGGCGGGUACGCACUCGAAAUGAGAACGUUUUGUUGACUUCUGUCAGGAAUAAGGAGCCGUUUUGUUUCCAAAAGAACCAAGAAUCUCUAAAGACGCAUCUGACGCUAUUUUUUUUUAUUUUAUAAAAACCCCCCUUUGUGACGGGCAAAGAAGAGAAAUAUUGACAGGCGUGGUAACAAUAACAGAUGGGGUGUGCGAGAAAAUCUAUACAUCAGCAAUCACAUUAUGGAUCUCUGUGUGUUCUGGCCUCUUUGUGUCGCAGUCUGAAUGUGUUCAUUAGGAGAGCUUGUUGUUUUUCAAUCAGUUAUUCAUGCAGCUGCUUGAGCACGCAACAUGUCAAGAAUACCAUAUGCAUAAAAAAGCAAUAUUAUUGUGCUGAUCAUGUAAAGCAUAUUUAUGAGCAAAUAUUCCUCCUGCAGUUAUAAAACAAACAGUUUUUCCACAUGAGCUCAUUCUCCGCGUGCCCUUUCUUUUGAUAUUUAUCCCUCACCCUCUCCUUGGCUUUAGAAACCUGCAUCAACAAACUCCUGCACUGCAAUAAAUUGAAUUAAUUAAAGACCAAAAUAGACCGGGUGGAGGAACAGGUAGUGAGGGAGGUGUCGAUUGUUGUUGCACCCUCUUUGGGAAGCAGACAGUCAUACGCAUCAGCUGCUCGUGUGUCUCACCGGCCAUCUGUCAGGGACAACUAGAUCAGGAUGGCAGCUCUCCAAAGCCUCCCUCUUCCGCUCUGUCUCACGCUCUCUGUGGCGUUCGGCGGCAUGCGUAUCGCUCUCACUCAACGGUCAUUACGAGUCAAAUGAGUGUGACUUAAUAUCUCAGUUUCAUGUCCUCAUCUGGCCGCUUCAGUCCUGCU
This is a long non-coding RNA of Astatotilapia calliptera (eastern happy), 1361 nucleotides long. The record is from Ensembl. Lineage: Eukaryota; Metazoa; Chordata; Actinopteri; Cichliformes; Cichlidae.